RNAcentral lists this unclassified non-coding RNA (340 nucleotides) under Hevea brasiliensis (rubber tree). The record is from RNAcentral. Lineage: Eukaryota; Viridiplantae; Streptophyta; Magnoliopsida; Malpighiales; Euphorbiaceae.
AAAAAGUUCAACCAAAAAAUGUGCAUUAUAUAAAAUACAAAACAUAGGAUUUAAACUUUACAAAUUUCAAUUUUGGAUUGGAACGAAUAUUGGCAAUAGAGAAAUGUGUAAAAAAUAUUUACAAAUACAUUUUAUGCCACUAUCUAUUUCAUUUAGCACAUAAAGGCUCUCUAUCUUACAAAAAUUAGAUAUAUGAAAUUUGCAUUGAAAAUCAAAACAAGUCGGUCCCUAAUCACAUUUGCUAUAAAGCAAUAGAAAAGGGCUGAAUACAUCCUACUAAAAUCAAACCAAAGAACUGAUCAAACUAAUAAAUAGGUUGUGGCACUAACCUUAACAGGUG